Molecule: non-coding RNA, 21 nt
Filed under: Caenorhabditis elegans
Lineage: Eukaryota; Metazoa; Nematoda; Chromadorea; Rhabditida; Rhabditidae
Source: RNAcentral
UAACACUCUCAUGGUAUGCUU